This 254-nucleotide ribosomal RNA is filed under the name uncultured bacterium. RNAcentral's name for it is "partial 16S ribosomal RNA". It matches the Rfam family "Bacterial small subunit ribosomal RNA", at positions 524 to 776 of the family's 1533-position model. The record is from RNAcentral.
UACGUAGGGUGCGAGCGUUAAUCGGAAUUACUGGGCGUAAAGUGUGCGCAGGCGGGCCGCGCAAGUCGAGUGUGAAAUCCCCGAGCUUAACUUGGGAAUUGCGCUCGAAACUACGUGGCUGGAGUGUGGCAGAGGAAGGUGGAAUUCCACGUGUAGCGGUGAAAUGCGUAGAGAUGUGGAGGAACACCGAUGGCGAAGGCAGCCUUCUGGGCCAACACUGACGCUCAUGCACGAAAGCGUGGGGAGCAAACAGG